Cydia splendana is the source of this 1150-nucleotide long non-coding RNA. RefSeq lists it as uncharacterized. The transcript has 2 exons. The record is from RefSeq and is a predicted model, not a curated record. NCBI's taxonomy places the organism in Eukaryota, Metazoa, Arthropoda, Insecta, Lepidoptera, Tortricidae.
CAGUGGAAUGUUAAACGUCAAUUAUACUACUAUGACGGGAGUACAGCGAUUUUUCUUGCUAAGUUUAUAAUUAAUUUUGUUGAUAUUCUCUACCUGUCACCAUUCUCACUGACUCUGGCAAAGGCCCUAAAGGCUGCCAUUUCUCUAAUAUACUAUAUAUAUAUCAUGUGAUCAACAUGGAUCCCGAGAUCAUAGGUGACGCGGAAAGACAAUCCAUCAUUGAAAUCUUGGAAUUGUAUAAAGAUUUCCCGUGGUUAUGGGACUUAAUCCACGCCAAAUAUUUUGAUAAGGACGCUCGCUCGCAAUCAUUCGAAGUCCUUUUAGAGUGCUACCAAAAAUACUUUCCCAAUGCAACGGUCACCAGGAUAUCAGGAAAAAAAUUGAAUACUUAAGAUCAUGUUACCGGCGGGAGCGAAAAAAGGUGGAGUCCAGCAAGACUACAGGAGCUGGCUCAACGGAAAUAUACCAACCGAAUCUCUGGUACUACCCAUAUUUAAAUGUAUGAGUAUAUUCUGACCAUCCUAAGUUUUCAUUCCAAGUACUUAUCAAGUAUGGAUAGCUUAUAGGGAUGUGUAUGCAUUCUUAUUGCAACGUUUGUGCAUAGUUAGUGUGGUCAGAGUCUAUUCAGAGGCGAAUAAAAAAAAAGUCAAUUAAAGAUCUGUUUUUUAUAAAAUAGCCCCUUGAGAUGAUAUAUUAUGUUAGGUAUAUGGGACAGUAAGCUGCAAAGGCUACCUUUUCUCUGCAGCUUACUGUACUAUUUACACUUUUAAUUUUCAAGUCCAGUCAACCUAUUUGAUUUCGGUACCCCUUCAUAAUGUGGCAAGUUAUGAAGUGGCCCCGAAACCAAAUUGGUUGACUGCACAGUUUUCACAUUUUGUAACUAUUAUUUGGAAAGGGUCUAGUGAUCCUACAAAUGUUAGCCAGUUUAGUGAGUCAUGGGGAGUAUGUAUUUUUCUGACACUAAUAUUAUUGUUAUAAAUAAGUAUAAGUAACAUAUAUUUCUUCCCUUUAAUACUGCCAAAAUUGGUGUGACAGAGAGGUGACUGAUAAUAAAAUUAUUGUUAAUUAUUAUUAGGUAUUUAGUAUGAUUAUUCUAAUUAGGUGCCAUAAAAGCUGUGAUUCAUAAAUAAUAAUAAUUAGAUUAUUAAUA